This 975-nucleotide long non-coding RNA is filed under the name Canis lupus familiaris (dog). Its description in RNAcentral is "lncRNA (ENSCAFG00030004253.1)". The record is from RNAcentral. Lineage: Eukaryota; Metazoa; Chordata; Mammalia; Carnivora; Canidae.
AAACACCUACCUCUCGAGUAUUGACAAAACAGUGUGUAGAAAGAAUAAAUAAAUAACUGAAGGAAGGCAGGCGGCCAACCCUGAGGAGCUCGCAGCCCCGCCCCCUGCCAGGAGCUUGCACUUGGGGCCUGCAAUCCGCACAUUACCACAAGAUGAGCGGGAAGAUAGCGGUGCUGAGCCUCUCUGCCUGGGGGAGUGGGGGGUUGCUUUUCCUGUGGCAGAAACUAUCUGUGCUCCCCAGUAUGCCCAGGAACAAUCUCCACUUAUUAUACCAGCUCAAAACCCAGGACUGUUUAUAGCCUCACGCCGACAAGACACUAACCCUCACUCAUUACUGUCACCAUGGGGAUUGAUCUGUCCCACACUCUCCUUGCAUGUGGCCCACAUUUUCAUCCAGUAAAAUCACACGUUGUUAACUCAAUAUAUACAGUGAAAACAGCAUGAAUAAUGGAACCUUUAAUCCUUAUUUCUCAAAAUUAGAUUCUACUUUAUCCUUCUCCCCUUUCCUCUCUUAAAAAAAAAAAAAAAAUCUCAGUGCUUAGCAGAAUAGAUGUUGUCCAAACCUUAGCUCUAAGCAGAUUCUGUGGUAUUUCCAUUCCAGGACCAGGUCCCAUUGCAGAUCCGAUUUCUGGGUGGAUUGAUUGCAUUUCUUCCCCUGGUCACUUCACACGUGACUCGGGAGAAAUUAACAUCAUCCCUGUCACAGCGGAAGAGAUGAAUGCAUUGACAAAAACCUCCUGCUCUGAAGGUUCUUCCUCUGGGGAAAUGCGUGGUGCCCACCUCCUCCAGGGUCAGGCACGGUCAGGACUGACCUCAGGAUUCUGGUGAGCUGCUGGGGAGCGGGCCAGGGAGAUGCAUGGGCUUUGUACCAGAAGAGGCAAAUUGAAUAGGAAUGGGAAACUUCAGAUUUUUACCACCUUGAGAUGUCCUCUUCUACAGAAAUGAGUGUUUCUGGUUAAACUCUAUAUGCAUGCA